RNAcentral lists this ribosomal RNA (119 nucleotides) under Musa acuminata subsp. malaccensis (wild Malaysian banana). Lineage: Eukaryota; Viridiplantae; Streptophyta; Magnoliopsida; Zingiberales; Musaceae. The record is from RNAcentral.
GAGUGCGAUCAUACCAGCACUAAAGCACCGGAUCCCAUCAGAACUCCGAAGUUAAGCGUGCAUGGGUGAGAGUAGUACUAGAAUGGGUGACCCCCUGGGAAGUUCUCAUGUUGGACUCC